Molecule: ribosomal RNA, 651 nt
Filed under: Vibrio vulnificus
Lineage: Bacteria; Pseudomonadati; Pseudomonadota; Gammaproteobacteria; Vibrionales; Vibrionaceae
Description: partial 23S ribosomal RNA
Rfam family: Bacterial large subunit ribosomal RNA
Source: RNAcentral
UUCUGUAAGCCGUUGAAGGUGUGUUGUAAAGCAUGCUGGAGGUAUCAGAAGUGCGAAUGCUGACAUGAGUAACGACAAGGGGGGUGAAAAACCUCCCCGCCGGAAGACCAAGGGUUCCUGUCCAACGUUAAUCGGGGCAGGGUAAGUCGACCCCUAAGGCGAGGCUGAAAAGCGUAGUCGAUGGGAAACGGGUUAAUAUUCCCGUACUUCUUACAAUUGCGAUGGGGGGACGGAGAAGGCUAGGUGGGCCUGGCGACGGUUGUCCAGGUUCAAGUGCGUAGGCUGAGUGUUUAGGUAAAUCCGGAUACUCUUAAGGCUGAGACACGACGUCGAGCUACUACGGUAGUGAAGUCAUUGAUGCCAUGCUUCCAGGAAAAGCCUCUAAGCUUCAGAUUGUAAGGAAUCGUACCCCAAACCGACACAGGUGGUCGGGUAGAGAAUACCAAGGCGCUUGAGAGAACUCGGGUGAAGGAACUAGGCAAAAUGGUACCGUAACUUCGGGAGAAGGUACGCUCUUGAUGGUGAAGUCCCUUGCGGAUGGAGCUGACGAGAGUCGCAGAUACCAGGUGGCUGCAACUGUUUAUUAAAAACACAGCACUGUGCAAAAUCGUAAGAUGACGUAUACGGUGUGACGCCUGCCCGGUGCCGGAA